Molecule: ribosomal RNA, 301 nt
Filed under: uncultured bacterium
Lineage: Bacteria
Description: partial 16S ribosomal RNA
Rfam family: Bacterial small subunit ribosomal RNA
Source: RNAcentral
CAGUCGCCGCGGUAAUACGUAGGUCCCGAGCGUUGUCCGGAUUUAUUGGGCGUAAAGCGAGCGCAGGCGGUUAGAUAAGUCUGAAGUUAAAGGCUGUGGCUUAACCAUAGUACGCUUUGGAAACUGUUUAACUUGAGUGCAAGAGGGGAGAGUGGAAUUCCAUGUGUAGCGGUGAAAUGCGUAGAUAUAUGGAGGAACACCGGUGGCGAAAGCGGCUCUCUGGCCUGUAACUGACGCUGAGGCUCGAAAGCGUGGGGAGCAAACGGGAUUAGAUACCCGAGUAGUCCCUGUCUCUUAUACA